Molecule: ribosomal RNA, 236 nt
Filed under: uncultured bacterium
Lineage: Bacteria
Description: partial 16S ribosomal RNA
Rfam family: Bacterial small subunit ribosomal RNA
Source: RNAcentral
CCGGCACGGGUGAGUAACACGUAUCCAACCUGCCGUCUACUCUUGACAGCCUUCUGAAAGGAAGAUUAAUACAAGAUGGCAUCAUGAGUCCGCAUGUUCACAUGAUUAAAGGUAUUCCGGUAGACGAUGGGGAUGCGUUCCAUUAGAUAGUAGGCGGGGUAACGGCCCACCUAGUCUUCGAUGGAUAGGGGUUCUGAGAGGAAGGUCCCCCACAUUGGAACUGGGACACGGUCCAA